UAAAAGUAUAACAUUUUGUAUAGCAUUAGUUUUCAAAGUGUUAGAAACACUGCUUUUGAAUAUCUCGGAUCACUUUCGUAAAGGAUGCAGGUAAACUAUGCUGUCAUCUUAGCCUGUUUACUACUCGUUGGAACACCGACAGAAAACUACGAAUUUAGUCUGACUGCACUACAUAAGUUCAGCAAAGAAAAUCUAAAAAUACUCCGCAAGUCCGGCUUUCUUAGUGCUUUAGGUCUACGACCCCAUAUUCUUCUCAUUCCCUAUAUAGAGCCACAGCUGCGUAAGGUAGUCGUCGUUACCAAAAGUUCGUAUCACCGUCCAGUUUUUUGUCGACGACCAAAAAUAAUGGAAGGAAUUGAUCCAGCACGUCUUGCAAGAGAUUGGCCUCAUAGCGUCACUCCUGGAGGCCCAGGCCCAGAGUGGUGGUAGUCGCGGACUUCAAACCAUCUUUAUUAUAUCAUUUGCGAAACCCGUUUUGUGUGCGAAACCCAAACAAAGCGCUGGUCUUAAUGAACGAUUGGUUCUGGCGAUUUUAGACAAACAACUGGAGACGCACCACUAAGCUCUGAAUGUUUACCCGCUGGCGGCAUGUCUACUCAUUAACAUUUAAGCGUAAGCAAAAAAGCAUGUGAUGUUACUAAGGGAAUCGAACUGUAAGAUCUCCAUUCAUAUACAAAUUAUAUGCCAAAAAUUGUAUUUAAUCGCAUGAUAGAUAGAAGCCUCUGUAUAUGAUGCGCACCAACGCCUAGGACACACUGAGAGCAAAUGAAAGUAAGGGCAUCUACCGAGCGCCGAGUUGUUAUUACAUCAAUCUUAUUCUCACAUCGGAAUGCUUUUUGUCCGUCAUGUUCUCCCAUAUUUUAUGUUUCGAGUUCCGUCAGACGACUGGCUCGCAUCAUGAGACGAGUUGUGUCCACGCUCAAAUUCGAACCCCCGACCACCACGUGUCU
This is an RNA transcript of Varroa destructor (honeybee mite), 950 nucleotides long. RefSeq lists it as uncharacterized. The record is from RefSeq and is a predicted model, not a curated record. NCBI's taxonomy places the organism in Eukaryota, Metazoa, Arthropoda, Arachnida, Mesostigmata, Varroidae.